GAAAAGUCUCCUUACGUCUACAAGUCUCCUCCACCACCAUCUCCAUCACCACCCCCUCCUUAUGUCUACAAGUCUCCACCUCCUCCAACAUAUGUUGAAAAGUCUCCUUACGUCUACAAGUCUCCUCCACCACCAUCUCCAUCACCACCUCCUCCUUAUGUCUAUAAGUCUCCACCUCCCCCAGCAUAUGUUGAAAAGUCUCCUUACGUCUACAAGUCUCCUCCAUCACCACCUCCUUCUUAUGUCUACAAGUCUCCACCUCCUCCAGCAUAUGUUGAAAAGUCUCCUUAUGUCUACAAGUCUCCUCCACCACCAUCUCCAUCACCACCCCCUCCUUAUGUCUACAAGUCUCCACCUCCUCCAGCAUAUGUUGAAAAGUC
This 380-nucleotide long non-coding RNA is filed under the name Lupinus mutabilis. RNAcentral's name for it is "partial ncRNA". The record is from RNAcentral. Lineage: Eukaryota; Viridiplantae; Streptophyta; Magnoliopsida; Fabales; Fabaceae.